This 393-nucleotide ribosomal RNA is filed under the name uncultured bacterium. RNAcentral describes it as "partial 16S ribosomal RNA". It matches the Rfam family "Bacterial small subunit ribosomal RNA", at positions 523 to 918 of the family's 1533-position model. The record is from RNAcentral.
AUACGGAGGAUGCGAGCGUUAUCCGGAUUUAUUGGGUUUAAAGGGUGCGUAGGCUGUGCGUUAAGUCAGGGGUGAAAUGCCGUCGCUCAACGACGGAGCUGCCCUUGAUACUGGCGUGCUGGAGUACGGAUGCCGUUGGAGGAAUGAGUGGUGUAGCGGUGAAAUGCUUAGAUAUCACUCAGAACACCGAUUGCGAAGGCAUCGGACGAAUCCGUCACUGACGCUGAGGCACGAAAGCGUGGGGAUAGAGCAGUAUUAGAUACCCUGGUAUUCCACGCCGUAAACGAUGAUGACUAACCGUCGGCGAUAGACAGCCGGUGGCCAAGCGAAAGCGAUAAGUCAUCCACCUGGGGAGUACGUCGGCAACGAUGAAACUCAAAUGAAUUGACGGGG